Molecule: ribosomal RNA, 482 nt
Filed under: uncultured bacterium
Lineage: Bacteria
Description: partial 16S ribosomal RNA
Rfam family: Bacterial small subunit ribosomal RNA
Source: RNAcentral
AUUGAACGCUGGCGGCAUGCUCUACACAUGCAAGUCGAACGGUAACAGGCCGCAAGGUGCUGACGAGUGGCGCACGGGUGAGUAAUGCAUCGGAACGUGCCCAGUCGUGGGGGAUAACUACUCGAAAGAGUAGCUAAUACCACAUACGAUCUAUGGCUGAAAGCGGGGGACCGUAAGGCCUCGCGCGAUUGGAGCGGCCGAUGUCAGAUUAGGUAGUUGGUGGGGUAAAGGCUCACCAAGCCAACGAUCUGUAGCUGGUCUGAGAGGACGACCAGCCACACUGGGACUGAGACACGGCCCAGACUCCUACGGGAGGCAGCAGUGGGGAAUGUUGGACAAUGGGCGCAAGCCUGAUCCAGCAAUGCCGCGUGCAGGAAGAAGGCCUUCGGGUUGUAAACUGCUUUUGUACGGAACGAAACGGCUCUGGUUAAUACCCGGGGCUAAUGACGGUACCGUAAGAAUAAGCACCGGCUAACUACGUG